Molecule: ribosomal RNA, 468 nt
Filed under: uncultured bacterium
Lineage: Bacteria
Description: partial 16S ribosomal RNA
Rfam family: Bacterial small subunit ribosomal RNA
Source: RNAcentral
GACGAACGCUGGCGGCGUGCUUAACACAUGCAAGUCGAACGGAAAGGCCCUGCUUUUGUGGGGUGCUCGAGUGGCGAAAGGGUGAGUAACACGUGAGUAACCUGCCCUUGACUUUGGGAUAACUUCAGGAAACUGGGGCUAAUACCGGAUAGGAGCUCCUGCUGCAUGGUGGGGGUUGGAAAGUUUCGGCGGUUGGGGAUGGACUCGCGGCUUAUCAGCUUGUUGGUGGGGUAGUGGCUUACCAAGGCUUUGACGGGUAGCCGGCCUGAGAGGGUGACCGGCCACAAUGGGACUGAGAUACGGCCCAGACUGCUACGGGAGGCAACAGUGGGGAGUAUGACGCAGUGGGCGGAAGCCUGAUGCAACAACGCCGCGUGCGGGAUGACGGCCUUCGGGUUGUAAACCGCUUUCGCCUGUGACGAGGCGGGAGUGACGGUAAUGGAUAAAGAAGCACCGGCUAACUACGUG